RNAcentral lists this ribosomal RNA (429 nucleotides) under uncultured bacterium. RNAcentral's name for it is "bacterial SSU rRNA". It matches the Rfam family "Bacterial small subunit ribosomal RNA", at positions 355 to 776 of the family's 1533-position model. The record is from RNAcentral.
UAGGGAAUAUUGCGCAAUGGACGCAAGUCUGACGCAGCAACGCCGCGUGGGUGAUGAAGCUCCUUGGAGUGUAAAACCCUGUCAGUGGGGAAGAAACGUACGGGUAGUAACUGACUCGUGCCUGACGGUACCCACAGAGGAAGUCCCGGCUAACUCCGUGCCAGCAGCCGCGGUAAUACGGGGGGGACUAGCGUUGUUCGGAUUUACUGGGCGUAAAGGGCGCGUAGGCGGACCUUCAAGUCGGGUGUGAAACCUGUCGGCUUAACUGACAGCCUGCACUUGAUACUGUUGGCCUUGAGUACAGGAGAGGAGAGCGGAAUUCCUGGUGUAGCGGUGAAAUGCGUAGAUAUCAGGAAGAACACCGGUUGCGAAGGCGGCUCUCUGGACUGAUACUGACGCUUAAGCGCGAAGGCUUGGGGAGCAAACAGG